CAGGAUCAGCUGCACCUGGACCUGGUGCGCCCUUGUCUAAAAAGAUCUGCUGGUUUCCCUCCUUCACUCUCUGACUCUCUGGCCCUCAGCCUGACCGACGUUUGUUGUUGCUUUAGUUAUUUAUGCAGAGUGUGUGCAGGUGUUAACAUCUUGAUGCUGUGCUGGACCCAUUCAUUAUCAUCCCAGCAGGAAAAAGCGUUUGCAGCUUCCUUUGUAGGAAACUGGGCAGGGUGAACGGCCGAGCCGCUCCGAAAAUGAACAACAGAUCUGCGGUCUGGGAAGCAUUUGGCAGCAUGAUCCUGCAGUUAGGUGGCUGUGUGCGGAACUAUUUGAUGUGUGAAAUUGUGCUUUUAUGUUAAUGUGCAUGUGUGCAUGAACAAAGGUGCUUUCAUAAAUCUAUGUUUUUUUUUAUGUUGGCUGUGCAUGUUUGUGCACAUGUGAGUGUAUCUAUGCAAAUAUUCCUCAGUUCAGUGUGUGUGUGUGUGUGUGUGUGUGUGUGUGUGUGUGUGUGUGUGUGUGUGUGUGUGUGUGUGUGUGUGUGUGUGUGUGUGUGUGUGUGUGUGUGUGUAAGCCUCUUCAUCUUAGUCCUCCUGCAUGUCAAUGAAUUUCCUGCUGUUCUGAUUCUGAAUGAAACUAUGAGCUCAGAGCUUCCCUCUGGGUUUGAACAAAGACACUGUGUACAGGAUCUGUUGUUUUGGUUUUUUUGUUUUUAUUUGGGGGGGUGGACCCAGGAAAUAGCAGGGCCCCCGUCUAAAAAACAACCAAACAUCUGAGACCAACAUGAGACUGUUCAAAUGUCGGUCUGUGUUGAGCAGUUUCCUCAGUAAGAAGGCAAAGUCAGGUGACGAAUAGCGAGUCAUAAAUAUAGAGGAGUUAGCUUUUUAUGUCUUUGAAUUUGACCUGUGUGGAUAAUGAGGUGCAGUUCCAGGCAACACUCGGCUUCAACAUAUUGCACCUGGCUUUCGAGCAGCUUGUUUACUGGACAAUAACCUGUUAUUGUUGAGGUUGAAAACAAAUCUGAGUCAUUGCGUUUUAAGACAGUAAGAAUGCGGAUAAGUACACUCUUAUCUGUUGUGACAUUGUUUUGUUCAGCCAAUUUUUCUGGACAUAAUGGAUCUUCGUCCCAUAAUCCUUUGUGUUUAAGGCUUGUUCUCCCUGGUUACAUAAUUCACCAUAUUAAAGUAAAGGUUGUUGUCCUCUGUAGUCACGCUCAAGGUUGGCAGCUCAAAAUGUUUUAUCCACAGAGUAAUGUGCUUUAUUUCUCCUUUCAUUGUCACUUUUGUAAAACGUAUGAAUUGAAAAUAAAUUAUUUGCCCUCAUUAAAGAAAUUAAA
Non-coding RNA from Labrus bergylta (ballan wrasse), 1333 nucleotides. The record is from RefSeq and is a predicted model, not a curated record. NCBI's taxonomy places the organism in Eukaryota, Metazoa, Chordata, Actinopteri, Labriformes, Labridae.